This 253-nucleotide ribosomal RNA is filed under the name uncultured bacterium. RNAcentral describes it as "partial 16S ribosomal RNA". It matches the Rfam family "Bacterial small subunit ribosomal RNA", at positions 524 to 776 of the family's 1533-position model. The record is from RNAcentral.
UACGUAGGUGGCAAGCGUUGUCCGGAUUUAUUGGGUUUAAAGGGUGCGUAGGCGGUCUAUUAAGUCAGUGCUGAAAUAUCCCAGCUUAACUGGGAGGGUGGCAUUGAUACUGAUGGACUUGAGUAAAGUUGAGGUUGGCGGAAUUGACGGUGUAGCGGUGAAAUGCUUAGAUAUGACAUAGAACACCAAUUGCGAAGGCAGCUUACUACGGAUAUAUUGACACUGAGGCACGAAAGCGUGGGGAGCAAACAGG